UACGGAGGGUGCGAGCGUUGUCCGGAAUCACUGGGCGUAAAGGGCGCGUAGGCGGCGCGAGUAGUCAACGGUGAAAGCCCGGGGCUCAACCCCGGGUCGGCCGUCGAUACUCUCGUGCUUGAGCACUGUAGAGGCAGGUGGAAUUCCGGGUGUAGCGGUGGAAUGCGUAGAGAUCCGGAAGAACACCGGUGGCGAAGGCGGCCUGCUGGGCAGUAGCUGACGCUGAGGCGCGACAGCGUGGGGAGCGAACAGG
This 253-nucleotide ribosomal RNA is filed under the name uncultured bacterium. Its description in RNAcentral is "partial 16S ribosomal RNA". It matches the Rfam family "Bacterial small subunit ribosomal RNA", at positions 524 to 776 of the family's 1533-position model. The record is from RNAcentral.